UACCUUCGUCUAGCGCACUUAACACCGGUCGCCGGUUGGAUUGUAAUGAAGAGUGGAACUGUUCUUCAUGACUAGCAUCGAAACCAGCAAGGAUCUAAAGUCCGUUUACGAUUUUGUUGUGAAGGUUUGUUUAUUUUUGUUGGUGUUUCAUUCACUUGACUAUACUUCAUGUUAUUUUUAUCUGCCUUGACUCUAUUUUGGUAAACCCAAACAAAUAUUCAAGAUGCUAAGGGCGAUGACAUAGAUCUUUCCAGUUACAAAGGAAAAGUCUUACUCAUUGUCAAUGUUGCUUCUAAGUGUGGCAUGACCAACCCAAAUUAUGCGGAGUUGAAUCAACUAUAUCACAAGUAUAAACACAAAGGUCUUUGGUAGAUUUGGAGGGAUAGAAACAAUAAUAUUUUUAAUCAGAAUGACAUUUGAAGCAAGGAGAAAGUUCUCAAGCUUAUCAAGCACUCUGCAGCCGAGUAUGCUGCAAUCAAGCGUUUUAAUCAGGUGACACAUCAUCCCUCUUUAUGUGAUUCGUGUGUCCUCGCCCAAUCAAUGUUGUUAAAUUAAAUUGUGAUGCUAGUCUUUUGGAACAAGAUCAUCUGGUUGGUUUUGGGUGUGUUAUUUGGGACAAUACGGGUAAAUGGUUAUUGGGUUGUUCAACAAGCAUUCCAAAAGAAACUAUUAUUUGGUGUGAGAUAUUCGCAAUUUGGAGGGGUCUUUGUUUGGCUUGGAAAAGUGGUCACAAGGAGGUAAUUUAUGAAACAGAUUGUCUAGAAGCUUAUCUCUUGAUUAAAAAGGAUUCAUCCCAGAUGCAGAGAGAAUACACAGACAUUCUUUUAAAGAUUUCUGAGAUGCUGCAGUAAAAUUGGGUGGUUCAAGUUCAAUUGAUUCAAUGAACAGCGAACUCGACCUUUUUACUAAGACAGCGGCUAGUCAUUCUCGUCCUUACAUUGAAUUUUUAAUUCCUUGUAGUGUUAUUGAUCAGAUCAUUAGGAAGGAGAUGAUACCUCCAUCUUAGUUGCUCUUUGUUCUUUCUUUUAUCAGACACAA
Arachis stenosperma is the source of this 1038-nucleotide long non-coding RNA. RefSeq lists it as uncharacterized. The record is from RefSeq and is a predicted model, not a curated record. Lineage: Eukaryota; Viridiplantae; Streptophyta; Magnoliopsida; Fabales; Fabaceae. The transcript has 3 exons.